This is a small nuclear RNA of Jaculus jaculus (lesser Egyptian jerboa), 106 nucleotides long. The record is from RefSeq and is a predicted model, not a curated record. NCBI's taxonomy places the organism in Eukaryota, Metazoa, Chordata, Mammalia, Rodentia, Dipodidae.
GUCUGCUAUCUUUGGCAACACAUAUACUAAAAUUGGAACCAUACAGAACAUUAGCAUGGUCCCUGAACAAGGAUGACAUGCAAUUUCUGAAGUAUAAGCCAGACAU